UUUAGUGUGUAACUUUUUGAUAUUAAUGAACGUAUGUUACAUUCGAGCCAUUACCAAGUGAGUUGCUACCAAGCUAAGUAAGACCAUCAGCUCCUCACAACUCUCUCUGCAUUUAUAUAUAUU
Etheostoma cragini (Arkansas darter) is the source of this 123-nucleotide long non-coding RNA. RefSeq lists it as uncharacterized. The record is from RefSeq and is a predicted model, not a curated record. NCBI's taxonomy places the organism in Eukaryota, Metazoa, Chordata, Actinopteri, Perciformes, Percidae. The transcript is spliced from 3 exons.